This 468-nucleotide ribosomal RNA is filed under the name uncultured bacterium. RNAcentral's name for it is "partial 16S ribosomal RNA". It matches the Rfam family "Bacterial small subunit ribosomal RNA", at positions 28 to 507 of the family's 1533-position model. The record is from RNAcentral.
GAUGAACGCUGGCGGCGUGCUUAACACAUGCAAGUCGAACGGAAAGGUCAUGCUCUUGUGGGGUGCACGUGUGGCGCACGGGUGAGUAACACGCGAGUAUCCUGCACUUGUCUUUGGGAUAACUUCUGGAAAAUGGGGCUAAUAUACGAUAGGAGCUCUUGCAGCACGGUGGGCGUUGGUAAGUUGCGGCGGUUGGGGAUGGAAUCGCAGCUUAUCCGCUUGUUGGUCGGGUAGUGGCUUACAAAGGCUUUGACGGGUAGCCGGCCUGGGAGGGUUGCCGGGGACAAGGGGACUGAGGGACGGCGCAGUCUGCAACGGGAGGCAGCAGGGGAGAGUAUUGCACAAUGGGCGGAAGCGUGAUGCAGCAGCGCCGCGUGCGGGAUGACGGCCUAUUGGUUAUGAACCGCUUUCGCCUUAGACGAAGCGGGAGUGACGGUAAUGAAUAAGGAAGCACCGGCUAACUACGUG